GGUGGCUCAGUGGUAGAGCGCUUGCCUUGCAUCCAUGAGGCCCUGGGUUCGAAUCCUCAGCACCA
Molecule: transfer RNA, 65 nt
Filed under: Dipodomys ordii (Ord's kangaroo rat)
Lineage: Eukaryota; Metazoa; Chordata; Mammalia; Rodentia; Heteromyidae
Rfam family: tRNA
About the family: Transfer RNA (tRNA) molecules are approximately 80 nucleotides in length. Their secondary structure includes four short double-helical elements and three loops (D, anti-codon, and T loops).
Source: Rfam by way of RNAcentral